UACGUAGGGGGCAAGCGUUGUCCGGAAUCAUUGGGCGUAAAGAGCGUGUAGGCGGCCCGAUAAGUCCGCUGUGAAAGUCCAGGGCUCAACCCUGGGAUGCCGGUGGAUACUGUCGGGCUCGAGUCCGGAAGAGGAGUGUGGAAUUCCUGGUGUAGCGGUGAAAUGCGCAGAUAUCAGGAGGAACACCAAUGGCGAAGGCAGCACUCUGGGACGUGACUGACGCUCAUGCACGAAAGCGUGGGGAGCAAACAGG
Molecule: ribosomal RNA, 253 nt
Filed under: uncultured bacterium
Lineage: Bacteria
Description: partial 16S ribosomal RNA
Rfam family: Bacterial small subunit ribosomal RNA
Source: RNAcentral